RNAcentral lists this ribosomal RNA (512 nucleotides) under uncultured bacterium. RNAcentral's name for it is "partial 16S ribosomal RNA". It matches the Rfam family "Bacterial small subunit ribosomal RNA", at positions 28 to 523 of the family's 1533-position model. The record is from RNAcentral.
GACGAACGCUGGCGGCGUGCCUAAUACAUGCAAGUCGAGCGGAUUGAUGGGAGCUUGCUCCCUGAUAUCAGCGGCGGACGGGUGAGUAACACGUGGGCAACCUGCCUAUAAGACUGGGAUAACUUCGGGAAACCGGAGCUAAUACCGGAUAAUCCCUUUCCUCUCAUGAGGAAAGGCUGAAAGAUGGUUUACGCUAUCCCUUAUAGGUGGGCCCGCGGCGCAUUAGCUAGUUGGUGAGGUAACGGCUCACCAAGGCAACGAUGCGUAGCCGACCUGAGAGGGUGAGCGGCCACACUGGGACUGAGACACGGCCCUGACUCAUACGGGAGGCAGCAGUAGGGAAUCUUCCGCAAUGGACGAAAGUCUGACGGAGCAACGCCGCGUGAGUGAUGAAGGUUUUCGGAUCGUAAAACUCUGUUGUUAGGGAAGAACAAGUACGAGAGUAACUGCUCGUACCUUGACGGUACCUAACCAGAAAGCCACGGCUAACUACGUGCCAGCCGCCGCCGUAA